Molecule: ribosomal RNA, 253 nt
Filed under: uncultured bacterium
Lineage: Bacteria
Description: partial 16S ribosomal RNA
Rfam family: Bacterial small subunit ribosomal RNA
Source: RNAcentral
UACGGGGGGGGCAAGCGUUGUUCGGAAUUACUGGGCGUAAAGGGCUCGUAGGUGGCCAACUAAGUCAGACGUGAAAUCCCUCGGCUUAACCUGGGAACUGCAUCUGAUACUGGAUGGCUUGAGAUUGGGAGAGGGAUGCGGAAUUCCAGGUGUAGCGGUGAAAUGCGUAGAUAUCUGGAGGAACACCGGUGGCGAAGGCGGCAUCCUGGACCAACACUGACGCUGAGGAGCGAAAGCCAGGGGAGCAAACGGG